UGCAAGUCGAACGGAGUAGCAAUACUUAGUGGCAGACGGGUGAGUAACAUGUAGGUAUCUGCCCUUUGGCCUGGAAUAACACGAGGAAACUUGUGCUAAUACCGGAUAAGUCUUUACGGAGAAAGCUUUAUGCACCAUUGGAUGAGCCUGCACUUGAUUAGUUUGUUGGUGGGGUAAUGGCCUACCAAGACUGUGAUCAAUAGCUGAUUUGAGAGGAUGAUCAGCCACAUUGGGACUGAGACACGGCCCAAACUCCUACGGGAGGCAGCAGUGGGGAAUCUUGCACAAUGGAGGAAACUCUGAUGCAGCGAUGCCGCGUGAGUGAAGAAGGCCCUUGGGUUGUAAAGCUCUUUCGUCGGGGAAGAAAAUGACUGUACCCGAAUAAGAAGGUCCGGCUAACUUCGUGCCAGCAGCCGCGGUAAUACGAAGGGACCUAGCGUAGUUCGGAAUUACUGGGCUUAAAGAGUUCGUAGGUGGUUGAAAAAGUUAGUGGUGAAAUCCCAGAGCUUAACUCUGGAACUGCCAUUAAAACUUUUCAGCUAGAGUAUGAUAGAGGAAAGCAGAAUUUCUAGUGUAGAGGUGAAAUUCGUAGAUAUUAGAAAGAAUACCAAUUGCGAAGGCAGCUUUCUGGAUCAUUACUGACACUGAGGAACGAAAGCAUGGGUAGCGAAGAGGAUUAGAUACCCUCGUAGUCCAUGCCGUAAACGAUGUGUGUUAGACGUUGGAAAUUUAUUUUCAGUGUCGCAGGGAAACCGAUAAACACACCGCCUGGGGAGUACGACCGCAAGGUUAAAACUCAAAUGAAUUG
This 808-nucleotide ribosomal RNA is filed under the name uncultured marine bacterium. Its description in RNAcentral is "bacterial SSU rRNA". It matches the Rfam family "Bacterial small subunit ribosomal RNA", at positions 56 to 912 of the family's 1533-position model. The record is from RNAcentral.